AAAAUGCGAUAAAACUGAAUUGUUCCAUUUAAACAUGUGGCGAAAUAUUGUAUUUAAACGAUAUGUUGUUUUAGAUUUCGUUUAGGAGGAAUAACGUCGCAUGUUAAAGUUAUCUAGUUUGCUUUUUGGCCAGCCUGUUACAGUUGCGCUCUAGUGUAUUGGCACCCUUGUACGUCUAUUUUAAAUAAUUCAAUACGUCUUCAAAUAUACAUUUAAAAUCAAAAACGUGUUCACACGUGUACUGUGGUAAGUUGCAGGUCUUUUUACAAGGUAAAAACAGCCAUUCAAAUCGUGUUGAAAAGAGAACAGGAUAUUCUGCUUCAUUAUAACGUUACCACUGUGAACAUGGCGAAGGGGAAAGAACUGUCUGAGGAUGUAAGGAAUUUGAUUAUAACCAAACAUGGCCUUAAGCAAGGUUACAAGUCCAUCUCCCGAGACCUUGGCAUUGCUGUUUCCACAGUUCGUAAUGUUAUCAGGAAGCAUGCUGUCCAUGGAGUUGUAGUCAACCUCCCAGGACGUGGGCGCAAGAAGACUCUGGUUCCACCGGGUGAAAAAGAGAGAACUUGCAAGAAGAAUCUGGUUCCACCAGUUGAAAAAGCAGUUCGUUCUGCAUCUAUCCAAAAUAAAAUGACAUCUGUUUGUGAUGCCACCAAUGAUGACAAGGAAAAUGGUUCCGAGUCGACAGAGUCUCAGGACAAGGAACAUCCACGGCUUCUCAUCCCAGAGUUAUGUCGUCUUUUCUACCAACUCGGCUGGGUUACUGGGACAGGGGGAGGGCUAAGUUUGAGACGUGGAGAUCAGAUCUACAUUGCCCCGUCUGGAGUGCAGAAGGAGAGACUACAGAUGAGAGCGGCGCAGGCCGUCAUCCACACCCACUCCAAGGCUGCCGUCAUGGCAACUCUGUUUUAUCCUGGCAAGGAAUUCCGCAUAACUCACCAGGAGAUGAUAAAGGGAAUCCGCAAGGGCACCUCCAGAACCAACUACAGAUAUGAUGAAACCCUGGUGGUCCCCAUCAUUGAGAACACCCCGGAGGAGCAGGACCUGAAGGAGCGCAUGGCGCUGGCCAUGGAGCAGUACCCAGACUCCUGUGCGGUCCUCGUCCGGCGCCACGGCGUCUACGUGUGGGGGAGUCCUGGGAGAAAGCCAAGACCAUGUGUGAAUGUUAUGACUACCUAUUUGACAUCGCCGUCCAAAUGAAGCAGAGUGGAAUGGAUCCUUCAGCACCACCCGUUGAAGAGAACCAUUACUACGAUGUCCAACCAUCCCAAUAAAUGGAGGCAAACUAUCAGGUCCUAAAAUGAACACCUGCCAAAUGUGGAUUUUUUUCCCCAGCCAUGUCACCGGGUGGUCAGGACUUCACAGUGAAAGUAUUUCACUCACAUUUGUGAAUAUAGAAAGUCAAGUUUGAUCACAUUUAUAGUGACAUAUAUGCUGCACUUGCUGUUUUCAAAAUAUUUCUGCCGUUUUUGUUUCAUAGCUUGUAAUAUAUAGCCUGUUCCACCUCGCUCUGCAACACAGCCUGGCUGGGGGACUGUGCGCACGUGAAGAGCUGAGUGAAAGAUUACAUUUUUAGAAGCGCUGUGCACAGGCAUAAAAGUUGGUCUAAUUUACUUGAAAAGAAAGUCUACUGAAGUGAGACUUUGUCCUUGUGUGUUCUUGGCUAUUUACAUUGUUUUGUUCAUAAACUAGGUUGUUUUUCUAUGUUUGAGUUUCAACUGCUUGUGAAGAGAAGACCACGCUUCUACUAGUCAAUCUCACAGGCAGAAACGAUACUGUUUUGCGUUGCCACGGUAACCACCUUCCCUUAAAGGUGCAGGUGAACAUUUUUGUCUCUGAUAUUUUGGUUAAAAAUUAAAUUAAUGAAUAUACCAAUUUUACUUCUUACUAGUAAUACACUUAUUGUUUUUAGAAACAUUACAAUGCUUGCUCAUCUGUUUGUUUUGUUGGUGUAAUUUUAUGGAAAAUAUUUUGGCUGGUAAAAGAAUCUGUGUGGCUGGUAGAUUUAAAAUAAAAAAUAAAAAAUA
Oncorhynchus gorbuscha (pink salmon) is the source of this 2024-nucleotide RNA transcript. It is a transcript of the gene named methylthioribulose-1-phosphate dehydratase-like, with no coding region annotated. The record is from RefSeq and is a predicted model, not a curated record. The transcript has 7 exons. NCBI's taxonomy places the organism in Eukaryota, Metazoa, Chordata, Actinopteri, Salmoniformes, Salmonidae.